RNAcentral lists this ribosomal RNA (386 nucleotides) under uncultured methanogenic archaeon. Its description in RNAcentral is "bacterial SSU rRNA". It matches the Rfam family "Archaeal small subunit ribosomal RNA", at positions 474 to 859 of the family's 1478-position model. Lineage: Archaea; Methanobacteriati; Methanobacteriota. The record is from RNAcentral.
CACCGGCAGCUCUAGUGGUAGCAAUUUUUAUUGGGCCUAAAGCGUCCGUAGCCGGUUUAAUAAGUCUCUGGUGAAAUCCUGCAGCUUAACUGUGGGAAUUGCUGGAGAUACUAUUAGACUUGAGACCGGGAGAGGUUAGAGGUACUCCCAGGGUAGAGGUGAAAUUCUGUAAUCCUGGGAGGACCGCCUGUUGCGAAGGCGUCUAACUGGAACGGUUCUGACGGUGAGGGACGAAAGUUAGGGGCGCGAACCGGAUUAGAUACCCGGGUAGUCCUAACCGUAAACGAUGCGGACUUGGUGUUGGGGUGGCUUUGAGCUGCUCCAGUGCCGAAGGGAAGCUGUUAAGUCCGCCGCCUGGGAAGUACGGUCGCAAGACUGAAACUUAA